AGAACGAACGCUGGCGGCAGGUUUAACACAUGCAAGUCGAACGCCCCGCAAGGGGAGUGGCAGACGGGUGAGUAACGCGUGGGAACGUGCCCUUCGCUUCGGAAUAGUCCCGGGAAACUGAGUUUAAUACCGAAUACGCCGUAUUGGGAAAGAUUUAUCGGCGAAGGAUCGGCCCGCGUUAGAUUAGGUAGUUGGCGGUGUAAUGGACCACCAAGCCUACGAUCUAUAGCUGGUCUGAGAGGAUGAUCAGCACACUGGGACUGAGACACGGCCCAGACUCCUACGGGAGGCAGCAGUGGGGAAUCUUGGACAAUGGGCGCAAGCCUGAUCCAGCCAUGCGCGUGAGUGAAGAAGGCCGUUAGGUUGUAAAACUCUUCGCCUGAGAAGAUAAGUGACGGUAUCCGGAGAAGAAGCCCGGCUAACUUCGUGCCAGCAGCCGC
RNAcentral lists this ribosomal RNA (440 nucleotides) under uncultured soil bacterium. RNAcentral describes it as "bacterial SSU rRNA". It matches the Rfam family "Bacterial small subunit ribosomal RNA", at positions 26 to 518 of the family's 1533-position model. The record is from RNAcentral.